UACCAGCACCCCGAGUGGUCGGGACGUUUAUUGGGCCUAAAGCAUCCGUAGCCGGUCGUACAAGUCUUCCGUUAAAUCCAACUGCCUUAACAGGUGGGCUGCGGAAGAUACUAUAGAGCUAGGAGGCGGGAGAGGCAAGCGGUACUCGAUGGGUAGGGGGUAAAAUCCGUUGAUCCAUUGAAGACCACCAGUGGCGAAGGCGGCUGCCAGAACGCGCUCGACGGUGAGGGGAUGAAAGCUGGGGGAGCAAACCGGG
Molecule: ribosomal RNA, 256 nt
Filed under: uncultured bacterium
Lineage: Bacteria
Description: partial 16S ribosomal RNA
Rfam family: Archaeal small subunit ribosomal RNA
Source: RNAcentral